CGUCGCCGCGGGAAUACAGAGGGUGCGAGCGUUAAUCGGAUUUACUGGGCGUAAAGCGUGCGUAGGCGGCUUUUUAAGUCGGAUGUGAAAUCCCUGAGCUUAACUUAGGAAUUGCAUUCGAUACUGGGAAGCUAGAGUAUGGGAGAGGAUGGUAGAAUUCCAGGUGUAGCGGUGAAAUGCGUAGAGAUCUGGAGGAAUACCGAUGGCGAAGGCAGCCAUCUGGCCUAAUACUGACGCUGAGGUACGAAAGCAUGGGGAGCAAACAGGAUUAGAUACCCCAGUAGUCCCUGUCUCUUAUACC
This 301-nucleotide ribosomal RNA is filed under the name uncultured bacterium. Its description in RNAcentral is "partial 16S ribosomal RNA". It matches the Rfam family "Bacterial small subunit ribosomal RNA", at positions 510 to 808 of the family's 1533-position model. The record is from RNAcentral.